Lolium rigidum is the source of this 121-nucleotide small nucleolar RNA. RefSeq annotates it as small nucleolar RNA SNORD14. The record is from RefSeq and is a predicted model, not a curated record. NCBI's taxonomy places the organism in Eukaryota, Viridiplantae, Streptophyta, Magnoliopsida, Poales, Poaceae. The transcript has a single exon.
UGCAAAUGAUGAUGAAAUCAAGUCUUGUUUCUCAAAACAUUUGCAGUUGCCACCUAAGAGCUUUCGCCCUGUCAGACUUCAUAGCUGAUGCAGCUAGAUCCUUCCUUGGAUGUCUGAUGCA